GAUGAACGCUGGCGGCGUGCUUAACACAUGCAAGUCGAACGGGAAACCUUUUAUUGAAGCUUCGGCAGAUUUUGCUGGUUUCUAGUGUCGGACGGGUGAGUAACGCGUGGGUAACCUGCCUUAUACAGGGGGAUAACAGUCAGAAAUGGCUGCUAAUACCGCAUAAGCGCACAGAGCUGCAUGGCCCAGUGUGAAAAACUCAGGUGGUAUAAGAUGGACCCGCGUUGGAUUAGCUGGUGGGUGGGGUAACGGCCCACCAAGGCGACGAUCCAUAGCCGGCCGGGAGGGGGGAACGGCAACAUUGGGACUGAGACACGGCCCAGACCCUUACGGGAGGCAGCAGGGGGGAAUAUUGCACAAUGGGGGAAACCCUGAUGCAGCGAGGCGGCGUGAAGGAAGAAGUAUCUCGGUAGGUAAACUUCUAUAAGCAGGGAAGAUAAUGACGGUACCGGACUAAGAAGCCCCGGCAAACUACGG
This 477-nucleotide ribosomal RNA is filed under the name uncultured bacterium. Its description in RNAcentral is "partial 16S ribosomal RNA". It matches the Rfam family "Bacterial small subunit ribosomal RNA", at positions 28 to 506 of the family's 1533-position model. The record is from RNAcentral.